Molecule: ribosomal RNA, 589 nt
Filed under: uncultured bacterium
Lineage: Bacteria
Description: bacterial SSU rRNA
Rfam family: Bacterial small subunit ribosomal RNA
Source: RNAcentral
CCUACGGGAGGCAGCAGUGGGGAAUAUUGGACAAUGGGCGAAAGCCUGAUCCAGCAAUGCCGCGUGAGUGAUGAAGGCCUUCGGGUCGUAAAGCUCUUUUACCAGGGAUGAUAAUGACAGUACCUGGAGAAUAAGCUCCGGCUAACUCCGUGCCAGCAGCCGCGGUAAUACGGAGGGAGCUAGCGUUGUUCGGAAUUACUGGGCGUAAAGAGUACGUAGGCGGUUAUUCAAGUCAGAGGUGAAAGCCCGGGGCUCAACCCCGGAACUGCCUUUGAAACUAGAUAACUAGAGUCUUGGAGAGGUUAGUGGAAUUCCGAGUGUAGAGGUGAAAUUCGUAGAUAUUCGGAAGAACACCAGUGGCGAAGGCGACUAACUGGACAAGUACUGACGCUGAGGUACGAAAGCGUGGGGAGCAAACAGGAUUAGAUACCCUGGUAGUCCACGCCGUAAACGAUGAUAACUAGUUGUUCGGUCACUUGGUGACUGAGUGACGCAGCUAACGCAUUAAGUUAUCCGCCUGGGGAGUACGGUCGCAAGAUUAAAACUCAAAUGAAUUGACGGCUGAGAGNGCGAGCGACACGAGGAGAGG